GACGAACGCUGGCGGCGUGCUUAACACAUGCAAGUCGAACGGAAAGGCCCUGCUUUUGUGGGGUGCUCGAGUGGCGAACGGGUGAGUAACACGUGAGUAACCUGCCCUUGACUUUGGGAUAACUUCAGGAAACUGGGGCUAAUACCGGAUAGGAGCUCCUGCUGCAUGGUGGGGGUUGGAAAGUUUCGGCGGUUGGGGAUGGACUCGCGGCUUAUCAGCUUGUUGGUGGGGUAGUGGCUUACCAAGGGUUUGACGGGUAGCCGGCCUGAGAGGGUGACCGGCCACAUUGGGACUGAGAUACGGCCCAGACUCCAACGGGAGGCAGCAGUGGGGAAUAUUGCCCAAUGGGCGGAAGCCUGAUGCAGCAACGCCGCGUGCGGGAUGACGGCCUUCGGGUUGUAAACCGCUUUCGCCUGUGACGAAGCGUGAGUGACGGUAAUGGGUAAAGAAGCACCGGCUAACUACGUG
Molecule: ribosomal RNA, 468 nt
Filed under: uncultured bacterium
Lineage: Bacteria
Description: partial 16S ribosomal RNA
Rfam family: Bacterial small subunit ribosomal RNA
Source: RNAcentral